Molecule: RNA transcript, 2289 nt
Organism: Homo sapiens (human)
Lineage: Eukaryota; Metazoa; Chordata; Mammalia; Primates; Hominidae
Gene: CLEC4M
Gene name: C-type lectin domain family 4 member M
Exons: 6
Source: RefSeq, marked reviewed
AACAUCUGGGGACAGCGGGAAAACAUGAGUGACUCCAAGGAACCAAGGGUGCAGCAGCUGGGCCUCCUGGAAGAAGAUCCAACAACCAGUGGCAUCAGACUUUUUCCAAGAGACUUUCAAUUCCAGCAGAUACAUGGCCACAAGAGCUCUACAGGGUGUCUUGGCCAUGGCGCCCUGGUGCUGCAACUCCUCUCCUUCAUGCUCUUGGCUGGGGUCCUGGUGGCCAUCCUUGUCCAAGUGUCCAAGGUCCCCAGCUCCCUAAGUCAGGAACAAUCCGAGCAAGACGCAAUCUACCAGAACCUGACCCAGCUUAAAGCUGCAGUGGGUGAGCUCUCAGAGAAAUCCAAGCUGCAGGAGAUCUACCAGGAGCUGACCCAGCUGAAGGCUGCAGUGGGUGAGUUGCCAGAGAAAUCCAAGCUGCAGGAGAUCUACCAGGAGCUGACCCGGCUGAAGGCUGCAGUGGGUGAGUUGCCAGAGAAAUCCAAGCUGCAGGAGAUCUACCAGGAGCUGACCCGGCUGAAGGCUGCAGUGGGUGAGUUGCCAGAGAAAUCCAAGCUGCAGGAGAUCUACCAGGAGCUGACCCGGCUGAAGGCUGCAGUGGGUGAGUUGCCAGAGAAAUCCAAGCUGCAGGAGAUCUACCAGGAGCUGACGGAGCUGAAGGCUGCAGUGGGUGAGUUGCCAGAGAAAUCCAAGCUGCAGGAGAUCUACCAGGAGCUGACCCAGCUGAAGGCUGCAGUGGGUGAGUUGCCAGACCAGUCCAAGCAGCAGCAAAUCUAUCAAGAACUGACCGAUUUGAAGACUGCAUUUGGUGAGUUCCUGCACAUCAAGGGUCCUUGGGCCUGAGAUGGUCUCUGUGUGAUGUGACUUUACUUGAGUUACCAACCCUGCCUGAGCCUCAGUUUCCUCCCCUGUGAAAUGAGAACACGGGGUAACUGCGAUCAUUGCACUUGGUGUUCACAGUGGGCCAGGCACACAGUAGACACUCAGUUCAACCAAUCCGCUGCCUUCUGUUCUGAGCUCUAAAGCUGCUAAUUCUCCCAGUCUGGAAGAGAUGGAGCCAGGACUCCUGGGUUCUCCUGGGGAUCAGGGAGAGUCUUGGGAAGUAGGGAGAGGAAUGGUCUCUCCCCAUUCCAAGCGGUCCACCCAACAUGGACAGUCAAGGAAGGGCCCUGAUUUUCAAGGGCUUGAAGGCUGGGCAGAUAUGGGAAUAUGGACAACCUAAUCUGAGCCCAGCCCUGACCAGCCUCCCCCAACAGAACGCCUGUGCCGCCACUGUCCCAAGGACUGGACAUUCUUCCAAGGAAACUGUUACUUCAUGUCUAACUCCCAGCGGAACUGGCACGACUCCGUCACCGCCUGCCAGGAAGUGAGGGCCCAGCUCGUCGUAAUCAAAACUGCUGAGGAGCAGAACUUCCUACAGCUGCAGACUUCCAGGAGUAACCGCUUCUCCUGGAUGGGACUUUCAGACCUAAAUCAGGAAGGCACGUGGCAAUGGGUGGACGGCUCACCUCUGUCACCCAGCUUCCAGCGGUACUGGAACAGUGGAGAACCCAACAAUAGCGGGAAUGAAGACUGUGCGGAAUUUAGUGGCAGUGGCUGGAACGACAAUCGAUGUGACGUUGACAAUUACUGGAUCUGCAAAAAGCCCGCAGCCUGCUUCAGAGACGAAUAGUUGUUUCCCUGCUAGCCUCAGCCUCCAUUGUGGUAUAGCAGAACUUCACCCACUUGUAAGCCAGCGCUUCUUCUCUCCAUCCUUGGACCUUCACAAAUGCCCUGAGACGGUUCUCUGUUCGAUUUUUCAUCCCCUAUGAACCUGGGUCUUAUUCUGUCCUUCUGAUGCCUCCAAGUUUCCCUGGUGUAGAGCUUGUGUUCUUGGCCCAUCCUUGGAGCUUUAUAAGUGACCUGAGUGGGAUGCAUUUAGGGGGCGGGCUUGGUAUGUUGUAUGAAUCCACUCUCUGUUCCUUUUGGAGAUUAGACUAUUUGGAUUCAUGUGUAGCUGCCCUGUCCCCUGGGGCUUUAUCUCAUCCAUGCAAACUACCAUCUGCUCAACUUCCAGCUACACCCCGUGCACCCUUUUGACUGGGGACUUGCUGGUUGAAGGAGCUCAUCUUGCAGGCUGGAAGCACCAGGGAAUUAAUUCCCCCAGUCAACCAAUGGCAUCCAGAGAGGGCAUGGAGGCUCCAUACAACCUCUUCCACCCCCACAUCUUUCUUUGUCCUAUACAUGUCUUCCAUUUGGCUGUUUCUGAGUUGUAGCCUUUAUAAUAAAGUGGUAAAUGUUGUAACUGCA